Molecule: ribosomal RNA, 460 nt
Filed under: uncultured bacterium
Lineage: Bacteria
Description: bacterial SSU rRNA
Rfam family: Bacterial small subunit ribosomal RNA
Source: RNAcentral
GAUGAACGUUGGCGGUGUGCCUAAUACAUGCAAGUCGAACGGAGUUAAUAGCAAUAUUGACUUAGUGGCGAACGGGUGAGUAACGCGUUGGUGAUCUGCCUUGAAGUGUGGAAUAACGCUCCGAAAGGAGCGCUAAUACCGCAUGUGCUCUCAAUUUUUAGAAACUUGAGAGGAAAGGAUUUAUUCGCUUCGAGAGGAGCCUGCGUCCCAUCAGCUGGUUGGUAGGGUAAAGGCCUACCAAGGCAAUGACGGGUAGGGGACCUGAGAGGGUCGGCCCCCCACAAUGGAACUGAAACACGGUCCAUACACCUACGGGUGGCAGCAGUAGGGAAUAUUAGAAAUGGACGAAAGUCUGAUCUAGCAACACCGCGUGUGCGAAGAAGGCCUUCGGGUCGUAAAGCACUUUUUGGAAGGAAUAGGAAGGAAUGUACUUCCAGAAUAAGUCUCGGCUAACUACGUG